UGGCAAGAAAAAGAUAGAAACACAGAAGUGCAGCUAGUUAUAAGAAAAAAAAACAACGUAGAAAUAACAACUAUCGCUGACACAACGACUGAAAAAGUAAAAGAUCUUCAAGCGUCUACUAAAAACAAAAAGAAGAAAGAGCCGACGACUAACAGCCCGUCAAACUUGGUUCAAGAAAGCCAAAAAGAAGAAGCCAAAAAAGUUUAAGAAUGUUGUCCGGUUGUUGCGAUCAAAGAAGAAACGGAAGCCAAUCAAAACAAGGUUACCUCUUCAAUUCCUGUUCCUUUGGACAAACCCGAAGUCGUUGAAACCGAGCCCGUCAAACCGGUGGCUAAGACGUGCGCAGGACUCUUUUCCGGUUGCCUAAGUACAAGCACCAACAAAGUUUUUAUAUUGCAUGGCAGUAGCCAGCCGGCCGCCGCCGCCAGUAACACGGAAAAUAUUGUGAUGCCGACAAGGAGUGUACCCGACAAUUCAACUACAAUUAAGUCUUCAGUAUUUGUUGCGCAGGCCAAUGAAAAACCUACACAAACUAAACCCAGGCCUUCAAGCAGCAAUUCUAUGACUAGUAUUGACGACAACUCGUCGCACUUGCAAAGAUUAGGUGAAUUUCUCUCCAGUUACAAUUUGGAACACACGAGUUAAAAAUACAACCUCGCGGCCUUGAAAACAGCAGCACAUGCUGUUACAUAUUUAUGCAACGCUUCAAGCAUUGUUAGGAUGUCCCCAGUUUUUCAGUCUUAUAAAGAGCAUUCCAUUGAAUUUGGAGAAAAGAAGUAGUACCUUAUCUCAAAAUUCAUUCACUCCGAUUCUGGAUAGCUUAUUUCAAUUUGUUGGAGAAUUCCAACAAUUAAAAUCCAACUCCGAAAAUACCCAAGAUACAACCGAAAUUGGAGAGGAUUUCAGACCUAGCUAUGUGUAAAAGAUUUUCCCAGAUUUUAAAAGAAGGCACUCAAGAAGACGCACAUGACUUUAUAGUAUUUCUUCUUAAGAGGGCGUCGCACCGGUGAUUUUCAGUGGUAAAAACAUGUUUAAGCAGACUGAAAAUAACUCGCUUAAUUUUGGUUUUAGAGUAAAA
Adelges cooleyi (spruce gall adelgid) is the source of this 1078-nucleotide long non-coding RNA. RefSeq lists it as uncharacterized. Lineage: Eukaryota; Metazoa; Arthropoda; Insecta; Hemiptera; Adelgidae. The transcript is spliced from 3 exons. The record is from RefSeq and is a predicted model, not a curated record.